This 105-nucleotide small nuclear RNA is filed under the name Tupaia belangeri (northern tree shrew). The record is from RNAcentral. Lineage: Eukaryota; Metazoa; Chordata; Mammalia; Scandentia; Tupaiidae. RNAcentral also lists the same sequence under 1 other name.
GCGCUCGCCUCGGCUGCACACGUGCUAAAAUCGGAGCCACAUGGAGAGGGUUAGCAUGGCCCUGUACGAGGAUGACUGCGAGUCUGUGAAGUGUGCUGCGUUUUU